GACAUAUCCAGAUUCUUGGGCUGAGACUAACUCCCUUCACAGGUUGCCACUGGGCUCCACUGCCCGUGCAGUGGUAGUUGGAAGACCUAGUCGUAUUGCAAAUCAGCAUGCGACUAGGUAGAAGUGAAUUUGAGUAAAUUGCUUCCUACAGGGUUAUGUAGGUGGAACCCGCUGCUGUUUUGGGGUCUUUUUUUUCUGUGUCUGGUUUUAUCAAUCAAGACUGGCUACGGAUGCUCCACGGGUCCUCCACGUCAGCUCCACUGGGUCAACCGCACAGCUGCAACCCCUGCACUCCCUCUGCUCAGCGGAUCAUAUUGGUGCUUCUGGAACCUGGUGGCCUGUCGGGACUGGUACUCCUACGUUUUGCCGGAGUCCUGCUGGAGCAGCCGACGGACUAACGUUUUUUACUUGAUUCUUUUAUUGACCUGUAUACCGCAAAGGGCCUAUUUGCCUGUUCAUUUGUUUUAAUCUUUCAGAGCUGCGGCAAAAGGGACUGGUUCUCAAGUG
Molecule: long non-coding RNA, 507 nt
Organism: Oryzias melastigma (Indian medaka)
Lineage: Eukaryota; Metazoa; Chordata; Actinopteri; Beloniformes; Adrianichthyidae
Exons: 2
Source: RefSeq, a predicted model, not a curated record